RNAcentral lists this small RNA (1081 nucleotides) under Pongo abelii (Sumatran orangutan). RNAcentral describes it as "retained intron". Lineage: Eukaryota; Metazoa; Chordata; Mammalia; Primates; Hominidae. The record is from RNAcentral.
UCUGUCGCGAACGCAUUGUGGAUUGUCAAGUAUUACUCAAGUCAGUCUUUUGGAUAAGGUUAGACAUCAACUUUCAGAGAAGGGGGAUUGCUGCUCUCCUGUUAUAGUUGUUUCUUCCCAGAGGUUAAUAUCCUUGGACUUUGAACACCAUCUUUUUUGACAGUGGACAUGCUAUUAACAGUCAGGAUCAUAACUAAGUUGGCUUGGAUUCUUUAAGAAAAAAAUGGUGCAAAGAUGGCAGUUGCAAUUUGAACUUGAGCUCUAAAAAUGGUCUAUUUGUGGUUAUAUUUGCCCAUUUUAAAAGUGAAAUUUCAUUUCUGGAUGCCUUUGAAAACUGACUUCACAUGUGUUUUUGGUGGGGGGCUGGGGAUUCUCUCUUGCAGUCUGGCCUUACCAAGGCAGUGAAGGAGAGUACAAUUACAUUGCAGCAGGCAGAGUAUGAAUUUCUGUCCUUUGUACGACAGCAGACUCCUCCAGGGCUCUGUCCACUUGCAGGAAAUUCAGUUCAUGAAGAUAAGAAGUUUCUUGACAAAUACAUGCCCCAGUUCAUGAAACAUCUUCAUUAUAGAAUAAUUGAUGUGAGCACUGUUAAAGAACUGUGCAGACGCUGGUAUCCAGAAGAAUAUGAAUUUGCACCAAAGAAGGCUGCUUCUCAUAGGGCACUUGAUGACAUUAGUGAAAGCAUCAAAGAGCUUCAGUUUUACCGAAAUAAUAUCUUCAAGAAAAAAAUAGAUGAAAAGAAGAGGAAAAUUAUAGAAAAUGGGGAAAAUGAGAAGACCGUGAGUUGAUGCCAGUUAUCAUGCUGCCACUACAUAGUUAUCUGGAGGCAACUUCUGGUGGUUUUUUUUUUUCCUCACGCUGAUGGCUUGGCAGAGCACCUUCGGUUAACUUGCAUCUCCAGAUUGAUUACUCAAGCAGACAGCACACGAAAUACUAUUUUUCUCCUAAUAUGCUGUUUCCAUUAUGACACAGCAGCUCCUUUGUAAGUACCAGGUCAUGUCCAUCCCUUGGUACAUAUAUGCAUUUGCUUUUAAACCAUUUCUUUUGUUUAAAUAAAUAAAUAAGUAAAUAAAGCUAGUUC